ACCUGGGUUUGGUCCCAAAGCAGUUCGUGAUGAUGAUGAUUUGCCUGAGUUUAAUUUUUCUGGUAAUAUAAAUGCUUCUAGGCCUAGGCAUCCGUCUCAAAACUUGUCUCAUGGAUCAAGAAUCACCUCGUAUAACCAACAACCUCCCUCUCGCCCUGUAGACCAGAUGAGAGAACUUGGUCUCAAAACUUGUCUCAUGGGUCACGAAUCGCUUCGUAUAACCAACAACCACCCUCUCGCCCUGUAGACCAGAUGAGAGAACUUGUACUUAAGUAUGGGCAAACUGAUACAGUUAGUAGUAAUGAUAGAGUUGCAAAUGUUGGUAUUGGAAUUGAACCGUGGAAUGAUGACGACGAUGACAUUCCGGAGUGGCG
RNAcentral lists this long non-coding RNA (374 nucleotides) under Nicotiana benthamiana. RNAcentral describes it as "long non-coding RNA (NBEN_LNC016674)". The record is from RNAcentral. Lineage: Eukaryota; Viridiplantae; Streptophyta; Magnoliopsida; Solanales; Solanaceae.